Molecule: ribosomal RNA, 237 nt
Filed under: uncultured bacterium
Lineage: Bacteria
Description: partial 16S ribosomal RNA
Rfam family: Bacterial small subunit ribosomal RNA
Source: RNAcentral
UACGGAAGGGGGCUAGCGUUGCUCGGAAUUACUGGGCGUAAAGGGCGCGUAGGCGGGUCGUUUAGUUAGAGGUGAAAGCCCAGGGCUCAACCCUGGAAUUGCCUUUAAUACUGGCGGCCUUGAGUAUGGCAGAGGUGUGUGGAACUCCGAGUGUAGAGGUGAAAUUCGUAGAUAUUCGGAAGAACACCAGUGGCGAAGGCGACACACUGGGCCAUUACUGACGCUGAGGCGGCGAAA